This 400-nucleotide ribosomal RNA is filed under the name uncultured bacterium. Its description in RNAcentral is "bacterial SSU rRNA". It matches the Rfam family "Bacterial small subunit ribosomal RNA", at positions 28 to 419 of the family's 1533-position model. The record is from RNAcentral.
GACGAACGCUGGCGGCGUGCCUAACACAUGCAAGUCGAGCGAUGAAACCCUUCGGGGCGGAUUAGCGGCGGACGGGUGAGUAACACGUGGGUAACCUGCCUCAAAGAGGGGAAUAGCCUCCCGAAAGGGAGAUUAAUACCGCAUAAUAUGUUUUGGUCACAUGGCCUUAACAUCAAAGGAUUUUCUUCGGAAAAUUCACUUUGAGAUGGACCCGCGGCGCAUUAGCUAGUUGGUGGGGUAAUGGCCUACCAAGCCGACGAUCCAUAGCUGGUCUGAGAGGAUGAUCAGCCACAUUGGGACUGAGACACGGCCCAAACUCCUACGGGAGGCAGCAGUGGGGAAUAUUGGACAAUGGGCGGACGCCUGAUCCAGCAACGCCGCGUGAGGGAUGACGGCCUUC